This 336-nucleotide unclassified non-coding RNA is filed under the name soil metagenome. RNAcentral describes it as "partial contains 5.8S ribosomal RNA, internal transcribed spacer 2, and large subunit ribosomal RNA". The stretch from base 1 to 120 matches the Rfam family "5.8S ribosomal RNA", at positions 35 to 154 of the family's 154-position model. The record is from RNAcentral.
GAUGAAGAACGUAGUGAAAUGCGAUAAGUAGUGUGAAUUGCAGAAUUCAGUGAAUCAUCGAAUCUUUGAACGCACAUUGCGCCCCUUGGUAUUCCAUGGGGCAUGCCUGUUCGAGCGUCAUUUGUACCUUCAAGCUUUGCUUGGUGUUGGGUGUUUGUCUCUCCUUUGCGUGUAGACUCGCCUUAAAAUAAUUGGCAGCCGGCGUAUUGAUUUCGGAGCGCAGUACAUCUCGCGCUUUGCACUCAUAACGACAGCGUCCAAAAGUACAUUUUACACUCUUGACCUCGGAUCAGGUAGGGAUACCCGCUGAACUUAAGCAUAUCAAUAAGCGGAGGA